Molecule: long non-coding RNA, 3463 nt
Organism: Oryzias latipes (Japanese medaka)
Lineage: Eukaryota; Metazoa; Chordata; Actinopteri; Beloniformes; Adrianichthyidae
Source: RefSeq, a predicted model, not a curated record
GGACGGACUGAGCUGGGAUCUGCUGAGGGAACGGCCCCCCUUCCCCACAGCUGCGUGGAAACAUCCCUCCUCUGGAACUGGGAGGCAGCUGGAUUCCGCUCAGCAAGAAGGAAUAACACGUCAAUGUAAGGGUGGGGUCAUCUAAGAUAGCACAAGGGUUAAUGCCACACUGAAAACGAGGCCCGAGCGACAGACGACCCAAGCUCCAAUGUCCACAUGAAGCCAGAGGACCAUGCAGUGAAGCUGGAGAUGAUGGAUGUAGAGCCAUUAUAGCUGAGUGUUUCAAAGCUUAAAGUUGGAAUGGAUCAAUCCUGUGGCUGAAGAGGGACUGGGAGGUUUUAUCUUCAUGAAGUAGACACUGCCUUCUCCUGUUCAAUGGUUUCUUUGGAGGGCAGUGUGUUUAUCUCUUGCGUCUCAGUUUUCUUCAGCUUGGUUUUGUCAAACCGGCUCACCUCAGUGAUGUCAGGUUUGUCAUCCAUGUUUCCGGAGAAUCAGGUGUUUGCUCAGAGAGACGACGAGACCACACAAUCAUUUCCUACAAGAGCAGAGAUAGCAGCAAAACUGUUUUCCAUCUGAACUUGGGCUUCUUCAGAUGGCAUUUUAAUGUUGAUCUACAUUUUUAUGAGAUCCUUUGGCAUAUUUCACUUCAUGCUUCUAAUAAAAAAUCAUUUUUUGGAUGAAGAGAUCUGGGAGUAAUCAGGCCUGGGUGUGGCAAAUGAAACUAAACUAUCGAUUUUCCAAAGAAGUGUCAGCAACCACAGUGAAAUCAUGAUUUAGAAUGGGGAGUUAUCUUUUUGAUAUGUAGGUUUGGACUUUUUUUGCCCCAAAUUAAUAAGAUAAUUUUUUUUCUCUGGAGUCACAAAGGUCCUCUUGUUUGAUAAUCUAAAAUAUUAUAAAUCAUGAACAUGUUAGGAAUUAGAAGGAGGCAGCCAGUUUUCUGCAGCACUGUACAUGGACUCCAACACUUGAUAAGAUUAUGUAUGGUAAUCCUCUCAUGCUAAUAAGAUAAGUAGAGCUUUAUUAAAAAUUAAAAACUCGCAUUAAACAGAAACCACUCACAUAAUUUCUGGCUUUAGUUUGCUCCCAUCAUGCCUCUCCAGGUAUGCCAUCCUACUUUAAUGAUCAAUUAAUUCUGAUUGGAUAACAUCUCAGGGUUCUUUGUAUCCAUUCUAUAAUACUGGAAUUAUUUUUCUAUUAAGGUUUGAACCUUGAGUGUUUAAAUAAAGAGAAAAAAUGGAAAUGGUCAUGUCUGUUGGAGAAACGUGUGUAGUGAGGGAUUUUACAGACUUAAAACAUCUGUAAUUAUUAUAAGACAUAUAAAAAGUAAAGAUGGUCACUUUAAAAUGUAACUUCCUUGAUAAACAAGGGGAACACUUUUGCACUAUUGUGGCUCCGUUGACUUAUUACAGCCAGAGAAUUAAACAUCCUUGGAGAAGAAAUAAUCUAAAUCUAAAAAAAAAUCUUUUAAUGUCAUAGUAAUUCAGAAAUCAGUACCGGUAAUUUUAGUGCAGCAAAUUUAACCAAUAGUCUAAAAAUCUUUAAAAAACAAAACACUUUCAUUUGGGUUGAAUUGGCCUUUAUACCUAACAAACAUUUUAGACCAAAAGGUCGUUUUUAGGCUGCAGUUCAAAUACUGAUAUUAGAAAAAAAAUAUUUACAACAGUUAUUUAUUUUUAUUUCUACUGUAAUAUUUCCCAAACCCUUCUUCACGCCCAUCUGUCUCCAUCCUCUGUGGGCUGGAAGUCUUUUUUGAACUUAAAAGCAACAGAGGACCCUGAAGCCUCCAAAAUAUUUACACAGGUGCUGCCUAUAACUGAAUCCCCCUGAAAAUAAGGGAGGCUGGUGGGCCCCCACUGGCUGACCACUGAAAUACAUUCUGUCAUUUAUCUGUAAUGACCGCCUUGGCUGUCCAGUUUAACGGAUCGCAGCUGCUAACAGCUGUGCUCUUCACAAAAAUUGUCAUGUUUGCAUAAACUUUGCUUCACUUUGAAUCACCUACUUGACGAUUAUAUUGUUUCCUGUGAAGCCAGACGGUGUUCCAGUUGUUGACUUUACAUGCCCUCUAGCCCGCGGUGUACGAAAAAAAAACAGCCCAAUGACUCAGUAGACUCAAAACGUUAAUCUGAGCUCCAGCUCGCCCUUAAAGGAUGCAUCCUUAAAAAUAAAAAAGUUGGAACAACAUGAAAUGUCAAAAGAUAAAAAAAAAAUGUCCGGAACGAGAGUGGGGCCUGACAAGAACAACAGAAGAAGACGUGACGGCUGUGUUGUUACAGUAGUUUGGAAAGGGCAUAUCACUUGGGUAUAUCAGCUUGUCCUGUGACUCACUGGAAUCUGCUCAGUCUCACUGGAGAUCAGCACGUGUCCUGCUCACUGUGCCGAAAUGUUCAGUGCGCUCCUCACGUAGCACUUACUUCCAACGGCCCAGCGCCGCAGCCACGUCUGUUUUCCAUUGUGCCGUCCACAUGCAGCUCAUAUGUAGAGCAGUUAAACGUGGUUCAGAGACGCUGAUGUCAUGGCUCCUUCUGCCAGCUGUGGUUUUGAGGUUGAGCGUUUCAGAGCUCGCGGAGCAGCGUUGCCCGCUGUGGGCUGUUGCAUUUGAGGCUCCCGAAUUCCCUAAAACCCUGGACCAACACCAUGCCUCUGGAGGCGUGUGCAUGUUGGUAUCUGCAAAAAACAUGUUGUUUUGGUUCUAAAAACAUGCUGAAAUAUGGAGGAAAACAAAAUUAGUAAAGAAGAAAUGCCUUCCUUGAGACUUCCAACAAUUCAGGAGAAUUAGAAAAUGACGACAUAUGAAAAAGAAAAAAAUUACAGAAGAGGAAAAAAAUAUUUUAAAUAGGGUAAAAGAUUGGUCCAAGUAAGCAUUGCUAUACAUCUAUUUGCCCAUCAAUUCUCUCAGGUCAGCUGAAGUGAGUCUACAUUCACAGCGUGCAUGUGGCGUGUGUUCUUUAACAUGCAUUUAGCCCAUGGUGUUCACACUGGACCGCCACUAUCUGAUACUAGCGCAUGCCCACCACCUGCAGUUGGAAAAGGCUUGGUGCUAAAUAUUGAACCUGUGCAAACUUCGUAAAUCUCACCCUAGCCUUUUGCUUUUGCUUUCACAGCUAUUCUGAUGCGUGAAAGACUUGCUGUCAUAUAAUUCUAGCCGAGCACCAACCACUUUCAUUAAUUUCUCUUUCUUGAUCAACUUUUAAAUAGUUGACUGUUCCAUGAAUUAAAAGGGAUGCCAUCCCAAAUCCACUACCAAAUCCAAGUCCCUGAUUGGUCAAAGUUCAACCUGGUUUAGCUUUCAGAGGGCGUUCAAUGGUACAAGAGUUUUGUACCCUGGAGCCCAAGACGCGUGUUUACAUAGACUUUUCAUUGAAAGUGGUCACUUGAAUGUUGGCGAUAUGAAUUUAACAUAAAGGUACACAUCACAACUGCCACUCUGUUCAAAAUGGUGUACUCAAUAAAGUUUUGUAAAAAU